GCCUGCUCCUCGAAGGAACACGCGCCUUCCCGUCUUCCAGGAUUGUUCUUCCAAAACAACAUGCUGUGCCGAUCUGUUUGGAAGGAAAGGAGGAGAGAGAGGGCAUCUUCCAACUCAGGGACAUGAAGAAAUACCGGAGCCCAGGCCAGUCCUGAACAGAACUCAGUAAACAUUCCAAAAAUCGCUGAGCGGCACUUUGAUCUGUGUUGAGGUCGCCCCUAAAACUUCCCAUUGCUUCACGACCAUCUUCCUGUGCGGAAUUUUGAAGAGAUUCUGACCG
Molecule: long non-coding RNA, 280 nt
Filed under: Capra hircus (goat)
Lineage: Eukaryota; Metazoa; Chordata; Mammalia; Artiodactyla; Bovidae
Description: lncRNA (ENSCHIG00000007624.1)
Source: RNAcentral